Molecule: long non-coding RNA, 1035 nt
Filed under: Marmota monax (woodchuck)
Lineage: Eukaryota; Metazoa; Chordata; Mammalia; Rodentia; Sciuridae
Source: RNAcentral
UCAGGCUUGUUUAUCAUAUAGUCAACUACCAGCCAGUAAGAAGCAGGGGUCAGGCUGCCCACUGGCUCUGACCACCCUGAUGACCACUGGCUUCUGGCACCAUUGCCUCUGGAAGUAAAAGAAUGUACUUGGCUGCCGAAGAUGGCCACAGUGAAGCAAAGCUCCCUGGUGAGGUGCAUUGAAUUUAUAACUCUCCUUUUUGUGAUGGGGCCAUAUUUCCCAGCUCGAAUCAGACCCAGAAUGUUCUGUGAAAAAAAAAGGAACAGAGAAUUAUAUCGAUCGCCCAUGUUUUGUAAUAACUAAAAUCCAGUAACACACCUUGUUAUUUAAGUGCAGAAGGGGGAGAAGAAAAAAAAACCUCCCCACUGUAAAUACAGGUAUUGGAAGGCAGAUGAAGAAAUUACAUUGCAAAACAUGAAGAUGCUAAUUCGAUAUGCAUGUGUUAUCAAUACCAGGGCAUCAGUCUGGAAUAUUGAAUGGCUUUCCCCCACUGAUUGGACUCAACCUUCUUUGCCUUCUGGUUGAAUGGAGAUAUUUCAAAGGAAGAAUACCAAUGUGACCUGAAGGAAAGAUUUUUCUUCUCUGAUUUAAAACUGGACAAUAAAAACAUGAUUUUUUUAUAAAGGGAAAAGCAAUUUGCAAUUAUGUGUAUUUAAUAGAUAUACAGCGGAGGCAUCUUUGUCCCGUGGUGCUUCUGGAAAUAGCGACUGAAGAAAAAUUAGACUGAAGUUUGCUGGACCAGGAGGAGAUCAGAUGGGUAGUCCUGAUCAAUCCCCCAAUCAUCCUUUAAGUUGCUGAUGUUCCAGGUCAUUGCACAUGGCGUGGAACCACAGAGCCCUGUGCUCCUCUCUCAAGGAGACAGAGUGUUGAAAUAUAUCUGUGAUUGAAAAUACUUAAGUGCGAGGCCUCCAGCGCUCUCCCCUUUCAAGGUGACAGUAAUUGAAGGAUGGAGCCAUGCAAUUCUGACAUUUAUAAUCCGGCUGUGGAAAAGGUCAGCUUCUUUUUGGAUCUACGCUGGAGCCGGUGGGAAAAGAG